GUCAUUCCUUUGACUCCACCGGACUUCAUAGCCCCCAUGGCCUGGUGUUGGGUCUGAUCACCCCAACAUCCCUGGUGCCCAAUGUGGGGCGACGAAGAUUCUGGCAAUGGAAUGCUAGAGCGUGUGGAAGUGGAGGACGCAUCAUCAGAGGACACCCGAGGACGACUGAAGGAAGCUCAGCAGUUUUAAAAGCUUUUCAUGAAAAAAACGUAUCUGUUACAAGGGGGAAAGAAGCCUCCGGGACAGCAGUCAUUUGCCUCAGCUGCACAAAGGCCAGGCCAGAUGGAAGAGACCAGCCUUCACCGAAGGCCGCAGGGAGCCCGGACACCCGGAGCUGAGCAUUCCGGUCACGCCUCAACCCCAAGGGGCCUGCGCAUGCUCCGCGCUGCGCGCGGCGCCCACGGCCCUGCCCUGAUACGCAGGAGCCCCGGGAUAGAGAAACCCAGAUGAAAACACAAGCCCAGUGAGAUGUUGGCCUCCUCAUCUGCUACCCUCGCCGUCACCUCUGCGCACCAAGCCUUCUGUCCCGGAGAAGAAGCCGUAUUUGGUCUCCCUCGAUGGGCGAGACCGGGGCCACGCGGGCACCGUGAUCCCGCCACUGCAUCCCGGGGACCCGCCGCUCAUCCUGGAGCGGCUCAGGGCCGUUUAGCAGCUUCCGCAGGUGCUGCCUGGCCCCCGUAGACACCAAGCCAGCUUAUCAAAAUUAAGGCAGAAGGCCCAGCAUUCGGUGUCCACACACCUGGACAAGCAGGAAUGGAAUCCUACAAUGCGCAAAAACUGAUUGCGAAGUGGCCUGAGGCAGAGUGUUUUUCAGUCAGGGACGUUGAAAGCUGGAGUUGACGGGGUUCUUUAUCAGAUGGUGGAUCCAGAACUAAACCACAUCCCCAGGCCACCAGUGGAAUGAGCAAUUCACGAGAUCCUGGGCGCCCAGAAGACAGCAAUGGUGCCAGUGCCCCCUCCAGAGCCCAAAGACCAGUACCCUCCAGCCUUCCAUCUCAGGGCGCUUCCCAAGAAUAUGUCCCACCCGUUUUGAAAGCUCCAUUUGAGUUAAUGGUGAAGAAGUAGCUUCGGUUACAUGGUUACAUAAGAGUGCAACUUCAGAAUGAAGAUAGGCCGAGGUCUCACUGAUUUCGGUAUUUCAGCCUUGACUGUGGGCAGUGUCCAGUUUGAACGGGGAGAGAGUUUGACGUUGGGGAAGUUGACUGUGUUGUCCCCUUCGUUGUGCCGCCAUUUGACCAGCCUGUCCAAAGGUACAACGCCCAGUAGACACUACAGGGAGAUAGAGAGACACUGCAGCAACCUGAGGUUGUCCUGAGACAAACUUUUAUACUUGAACAUGGAGACUGCACAUGGAUUUUGGGUUUGUGCUCUGUAAUACACAAAAGCUACAAUUAAAGAACAUAACCAGUCCCAAAGAUAAUUUCAAAGAAUAACGGCAAUUUAAGAGGUAGCUGGAAGUGGGGAUUUGACAGUGCUUAUUUGACGUUACUUCUCAGAGUUGCAAACUAAAAUGUACAAACCGUUAGCAUCAGAUAUCUUGAUGGUUGAAGGUUGUUAUGACCUUCCUGUACAUGAAUCUUUUACGUUCCCUUUCCCUUGUAAGAGGUGACAAAACAUGGAACCCUAGAAUGUGUGAGGAAGCUUGGACAUUAGGUAUAAGGAAAAACAUUUGCAAGCUGUCUGUCCAGGGCCUCUUCCUGUCCUGCAAGGGCUGGUGAGUCUUGGGUGUGUUUAGUUUAUUCUCAUGUUUGUGUUAUUUGAAAAAGUGAAUGGUCAAUAAAUGGCUUCAGAUUUAUAAUAAAAUCAUUUGAUACUAAAAGAAAGAAAUUUCACUAGGAAUUUAUCCUGAGUAAAUCAUCAUGAAUAUGCACAAAUGUAUUUUUACAAAGAUGUUUAUUUCAAUACUAUUUAUAGAGGUUAAAAUUUUUGUAGCAAUCGCCGGGCACGGUGGCUCACACCUGUAAUCCCAGCACUUUGGGAGACCGAAGUAGGCAGAUCACCUGAGGUCGGGUUCAAGACCAGCCUGACCAACACGGAGAAACCCCUUCUCUACUAAAAAUACAAAAUUAACCAGUCACGCUGAUGCAUGCCUGUAGUCCUAGCUAUUCGGGAGACUGAGGCAGGAGAAUCGCUUGAACCUGGGAGGCGGAGGUUGCGGUGAGCCGAGGUCAUGUCAUUGCACUCGGCAACAAGAGGGAAACUCCAAUGC
RNAcentral lists this long non-coding RNA (2209 nucleotides) under Homo sapiens (human). RNAcentral describes it as "novel transcript". Lineage: Eukaryota; Metazoa; Chordata; Mammalia; Primates; Hominidae. The record is from RNAcentral.